GAGUUUGAUCUUGGCUCAGAGUGAACGCUGGCGGCAGGCCUAACACAUGCAAGUCGAGCGGCAGCGCGGGGGCAACCCUGGCGGCGAGCGGCGGACGGGUGAGGAAUGCAUCGGAAUCUACCUCGUUGUGGGGGAUAACCUCGGGAAACCGGGACUAAUACCGCAUACGACCUACGGGUGAAAGUGGGGGACCGGCAAGGCCUCACGCGAUGAGAUGAGCCGAUGCCGGAUUAGCUAGUUGGCGGGGUAAAGGCCCACCAAGGCGACGAUCCGUAGCUGGUCUGAGAGGAUGAUCAGCCACACUGGAACUGAGACACGGUCCAGACUCCUACGGGAGGCAGCAGUGGGGAAUAUUGGACAAUGGGCGCAAGCCUGAUCCAGCCAUGCCGCGUGUGUGAAGAAGGCCUUCGGUUGUU
RNAcentral lists this ribosomal RNA (416 nucleotides) under uncultured Gammaproteobacteria bacterium. RNAcentral describes it as "bacterial SSU rRNA". It matches the Rfam family "Bacterial small subunit ribosomal RNA", at positions 9 to 427 of the family's 1533-position model. The record is from RNAcentral. Lineage: Bacteria; Pseudomonadati; Pseudomonadota; Gammaproteobacteria.